GCCCUAAUAGCUAACUAUAUAUAGGUAGAUUAGUACAAGAGGUCGGGAUGAAGUCAAAUUAACUAUAAAGAAUCCAAAGAGGAUGAAUAAACCAAAUUUAUACUUUUUAUCUAAUGCAUUUACGCAAAGGUGCAUGUUCAUAGGCUAUGCAUGUUCAAAGUUAGGGGAGAGGGGGCUUUAUAAAGGAAAAGUCUAACUGCAGUCAUACGGAGGGCAUGCGCACGAACGACUUCCAACAUGGCAUCAAACGCACCGUUUUGGAGAAAAAUAAUUAAGGAUGUCAUUCUCAGUUUCUUCAGCUACACUAGGACAUAGCACAUUGAGUAUCGUCCCAGUGUGCAGUUGUGGGAAAGAAGCUGCACUUAGAAUAUCAAAUACUUCACGAAAUCCUGGACGAGCAUUCUAUGGGUGUCCAUUGUACAACAAAGAGGGGUUACCACAAUGCAAAUAUUUCAAGUGGGCAGAUGGUAAUGAAUAAAAAGAGCAAGCCCAUAUAAAGAGAGAAACAGAAAUAUUAAGAAAAGAUGAAGAACUUAAAAAGAGAGAAUAAGAGAUUAGGAAGAGGGAGUUGGCACUCCACAACGAUGAAACCCAACUUCGUAGGCAAGAAGCCGACAUGCGGCAUGCACCACACUACUUCGUGAGCAAUGACUAAUAUCUAUAGUUAUUUACUUGUAUUUAAUACGUUUAAAGUGAUGCAAACUUUGUAUUUGUAUUUGAUAGGAAUUUAACGUUUAUAAGUCCAAACUUUAAUGAAUGUACUUGAAACUUUAUUUGUUAAAAAGUCAUAUUCAAUCUUGAGACUUUA
Molecule: long non-coding RNA, 808 nt
Organism: Carya illinoinensis
Lineage: Eukaryota; Viridiplantae; Streptophyta; Magnoliopsida; Fagales; Juglandaceae
Exons: 3
Source: RefSeq, a predicted model, not a curated record